UACGUAGGGUGCAAGCGUUAAUCGGAAUUACUGGGCGUAAAGCGUGCGCAGGCGGUGCUGUAAGACAGGCGUGAAAUCCCCGGGCUUAACCUGGGAAUGGCGCUUGUGACUGCAGUGCUGGAGUGCGGCAGAGGGGGAUGGAAUUCCGCGUGUAGCAGUGAAAUGCGUAGAUAUGCGGAGGAACACCAAUGGCGAAGGCAAUCCCCUGGGCCUGUACUGACGCUCAUGCACGAAAGCGUGGGGAGCAAACAGG
Molecule: ribosomal RNA, 253 nt
Filed under: uncultured bacterium
Lineage: Bacteria
Description: partial 16S ribosomal RNA
Rfam family: Bacterial small subunit ribosomal RNA
Source: RNAcentral